CCGCCGCUGCUAAAGCGGAGGAAGGAAUGGGCAACGGUAGGUCAGUAUGCCCCGAAUAUCCCGGGCUACACGCGAGCUACAAUGGUUGGUACAAUGGGUAUCUACCCCGAAAGGGGACCGGGAAUCUCCUAAAACCAAUCUUAGUUCGGAUUGAGGGCUGCAACUCGCCCUCAUGAAGCUGGAAUCCGUAGUAAUCGCGUUUCGACAGAACGCGGUGAAUACGUCCCUGCUCCUU
RNAcentral lists this ribosomal RNA (235 nucleotides) under uncultured Methanosaeta sp. RNAcentral describes it as "partial 16S ribosomal RNA". It matches the Rfam family "Archaeal small subunit ribosomal RNA", at positions 1105 to 1338 of the family's 1478-position model. The record is from RNAcentral. Lineage: Archaea; Methanobacteriati; Methanobacteriota; Methanomicrobia; Methanotrichales; Methanotrichaceae.